CCGGUUAAGUAGUACCGACCCUCGGGGACGUACGGCGACGCCAAGUGUCGAAAACGUCUAAACGGAAAGUUUGAACGGGGGACCCGGGCGACGAAGACCGGUGGAGGUAUAGUGGUUAAUUCGAUGCAACGCGAAGAACCUUACCAGGACUUGACAUGUCGCGAAGUCCAGUGGAAACACAGGAGUGCCUUCGGGAGCGCGAACACAGGUGGUGCAUGGCUGUCGUCAGCUCGUGUCGUGAGAUAGUUGGGUUAAGUCCCGCAACGAGCGCAACCCUCGUGUUUAGUUGCCAGUCAUUAAGUUGGGCACUCUAAACAGACUAGCCGGUGACAAACCGGAGGAAGGUGGGGAUGACGUCAAGUCAGCAUGCCCCUUACGUCCUGGGCUACACACGUACUACAAUGGUAGGGACAGAGGGCAGCCAACCCGCGAGGGCCGAGCUAAUCCCGUAAACCCCUGCCUCAGUUCAGAUUGCAGGCUGCAACUCGCCUGCAUGAAGGCGGAAUCGCUAGUAAUCGCAGGUCAGCAUACUGCGGUGAAUCCGUUCCCGGGCCUUGUAC
This 560-nucleotide ribosomal RNA is filed under the name uncultured Microcoleus sp. RNAcentral's name for it is "bacterial SSU rRNA". The stretch from base 75 to 559 matches the Rfam family "Bacterial small subunit ribosomal RNA", at positions 913 to 1385 of the family's 1533-position model. The record is from RNAcentral. Lineage: Bacteria; Bacillati; Cyanobacteriota; Cyanophyceae; Oscillatoriales; Microcoleaceae.